AGAGAUGACAUCACUCGGUGUUAAAGACGUAGCAUCUGAAAGCUGGUGUGCAACAAAAAAAAGAUAAAAACAGCUUUCUCCCCCACACUUCAGAGAAGCAGCCACAAUAUGAAAAGCACUUAGUGAAUAUGGGCUGCUCCGCCUGAAAUCAUCUUUAGGGCCGGUUCAAACAAGAUACUCAACAGAGGCAGAGCAGACGCGAGGACUGUUCUUCAGAGACAUGGGUCUUUCCCAGCUGCUCCAGGAGAUCUGCUCUGGCAGCGUUCUUCUUGUGCUUUUUGCCAUCAUAAUGUUGCUGAGCCAUGCCAGGGU
Maylandia zebra (zebra mbuna) is the source of this 312-nucleotide long non-coding RNA. RefSeq lists it as uncharacterized. Lineage: Eukaryota; Metazoa; Chordata; Actinopteri; Cichliformes; Cichlidae. The record is from RefSeq and is a predicted model, not a curated record.